RNAcentral lists this ribosomal RNA (253 nucleotides) under uncultured bacterium. RNAcentral's name for it is "partial 16S ribosomal RNA". It matches the Rfam family "Bacterial small subunit ribosomal RNA", at positions 524 to 776 of the family's 1533-position model. The record is from RNAcentral.
UACAGAGGUCUCAAGCGUUGUUCGGAUUCAUUGGGCGUAAAGGGUGCGUAGGUGGCGAGGUUAGUCAGGUGGGAAAUCUCGGGGCUCAACCCCGAAACUGCACUUGAUACUGCCUUGCUAGAGUACUGGAGAGGAGAUUGGAAUUUACGGUGUAGCAGUGAAAUGCGUAGAUAUCGUAAGGAAGACCAGUGGCGAAGGCGAAUCUCUGGACAGUUACUGACACUGAGGCACGAAGGCCAGGGGAGCAAACGGG